Molecule: ribosomal RNA, 1150 nt
Filed under: Sphingobacterium kitahiroshimense
Lineage: Bacteria; Pseudomonadati; Bacteroidota; Sphingobacteriia; Sphingobacteriales; Sphingobacteriaceae
Description: bacterial SSU rRNA
Rfam family: Bacterial small subunit ribosomal RNA
Source: RNAcentral
UGAGAGGAGAAUCCCCCACACUGGUACUGAGACACGGACCAGACUCCUACGGGAGGCAGCAGUAAGGAAUAUUGGUCAAUGGAGGCAACUCUGAACCAGCCAUGCCGCGUGCAGGAUGACUGCCCUAUGGGUUGUAAACUGCUUUUGUCAGGGAAUAAACCUUUCUACGUGUAGAAAGCUGAAUGUACCUGAAGAAUAAGGAUCGGCUAACUCCGUGCCAGCAGCCGCGGUAAUACGGAGGAUCCAAGCGUUAUCCGGAUUUAUUGGGUUUAAAGGGUGCGUAGGCGGUCCUAUAAGUCAGUGGUGAAAGACGGCAGCUUAACUGUCGCAGUGCCUUUGAUACUGUAGGACUUGAAUCUAUUUGAAGUGGGCGGAAUAAGACAAGUAGCGGUGAAAUGCAUAGAUAUGUCUUAGAACUCCGAUUGCGAAGGCAGCUCACUAAGUUAGUAUUGACGCUGAUGCACGAAAGCGUGGGGAUCAAACAGGAUUAGAUACCCUGGUAGUCCACGCCCUAAACGAUGAUAACUCGAUGUUUGCGAUACACAGUAAGCGUCCAAGCGAAAGCGUUAAGUUAUCCACCUGGGGAGUACGGUCGCAAGAUUGAAACUCAAAGGAAUUGACGGGGGCCCGCACAAGCGGAGGAGCAUGUGGUUUAAUUCGAUGAUACGCGAGGAACCUUACCCGGGCUUGAAAGUUAGUGAAUGAUCCAGAGACGGAUCAGUCCUUCGGGACACGAAACUAGGUGCUGCAUGGCUGUCGUCAGCUCGUGCCGUGAGGUGUUGGGUUAAGUCCCGCAACGAGCGCAACCCCUAUGUUUAGUUGCCAGCACAUUAAGGUGGGGACUCUAAACAGACUGCCAGCGUAAGCUGUGAGGAAGGUGGGGACGACGUCAAGUCAUCAUGGCCCUUACGUCCGGGGCUACACACGUGCUACAAUGGACGGUACAGCGGGCAGCUACAUAGCAAUAUGAUGCUAAUCUCUAAAAGCCGUUCACAGUUCGGAUUGAGGUCUGCAACUCGACCUCAUGAAGUUGGAUUCGCUAGUAAUCGCGUAUCAGCAAUGACGCGGUGAAUACGUUCCCGGGCCUUGUACACACCGCCCGUCAAGCCAUGAAAGUUGGGGGUACCUAAAGCAUGUAACCGCAAGGAGC